UGACUUUUUUGUAACCGAAACAUCACAAUUAUGUAGGUGGUUUUAGCCAGGGUGAGGCUCAUCCAUUGCAUGCCAGGUGUGCUGACCCCUGCCAUUUCCCCAAAUGCAGGAAACUCAAAUGGAUAAUUUGGGGUAGUGUUCUCUCUCCCUUC
Molecule: small nuclear RNA, 152 nt
Filed under: Ornithorhynchus anatinus (platypus)
Lineage: Eukaryota; Metazoa; Chordata; Mammalia; Monotremata; Ornithorhynchidae
Description: U1 spliceosomal RNA (ENSOANG00000027644.2)
Rfam family: U1 spliceosomal RNA
About the family: U1 is a small nuclear RNA (snRNA) component of the spliceosome (involved in pre-mRNA splicing). Its 5' end forms complementary base pairs with the 5' splice junction, thus defining the 5' donor site of an intron.
Source: RNAcentral